Molecule: ribosomal RNA, 742 nt
Filed under: uncultured Streptococcus sp.
Lineage: Bacteria; Bacillati; Bacillota; Bacilli; Lactobacillales; Streptococcaceae
Description: bacterial SSU rRNA
Rfam family: Bacterial small subunit ribosomal RNA
Source: RNAcentral
UGGGACGCAAGGAAACACACUGUGCUUGCACACCGUGUUUUCUUGAGUCGCGAACGGGUGAGUAACGCGUAGGUAACCUGCCUAUUAGCGGGGGAUAACUAUUGGAAACGAUAGCUAAUACCGCAUAAUAUUAAUUAUUGCAUGAUAAUUAAUUGAAAGAUGCAAGCGCAUCACUAGUAGAUGGGCCUGCGUUGUAUUAGCUAGUUGGUAAGGUAAGAGCUUACCAAGGCGACGAUACAUAGCCGACCUGAGAGGGUGAUCGGCCACACUGGGACUGAGACACGGCCCAGACUCCUACGGGAGGCAGCAGUAGGGAAUCUUUGGCAAUGGACGAAAGUCUGACCGAGCAACGCCGCGUGAGUGAAGAAGGUUUUCGGAUCGUAAAGCUCUGUUGUAAGUCAAGAACGUGUGUGAGAGUGGAAAGUUCACACAGUGACGGUAGCUUACCAGAAAGGGACGGCUAACUACGUGCCAGCAGCCGCGGUAAUACGUAGGUCCCGAGCGUUGUCCGGAUUUAUUGGGCGUAAAGGGAGCGCAGGCGGUCAGGAAAGUCUGGAGUAAAAGGCUAUGGCUCAACCAUAGUGUGCUCUGGAAACUGUCUGACUUGAGUGCAGAAGGGGAGAGUGGAAUUCCAUGUGUAGCGGUGAAAUGCGUAGAUAUAUGGAGGAACACCAGUGGCGAAAGCGGCUCUCUGGUCUGUCGCUGACGCUGAGGCUCGAAAGCGUGGGUAGCGAACAGGAUU